GACGAACGCUGGCGGCGUGCCUAAUACAUGCAAGUUGAGCGCUGAAGGUUGGUACUUGUACCAACUGGAUGAGCAGCGAACGGGUGAGUAACGCGUGGGGAAUCUGCCUUUGAGCGGGGGACAACAUUUGGAAACGAAUGCUAAUACCGCAUAAAAACUUUAAACACAAGUUUUAAGUUUGAAAGAUGCAAUUGCAUCACUCAAAGAUGAUCCCGCGUUGUAUUAGCUAGUUGGUGAGGUAAAGGCUCACCAAGGCGACGAUACAUAGCCGACCUGAGAGGGUGAUCGGCCACAUUGGGACUGAGACACGGCCCAAACUCCUACGGGAGGCAGCAGUAGGGAAUCUUCGGCAAUGGACGAAAGUCUGACCGAGCAACGCCGCGUGAGUGAAGAAGGUUUUCGGAUCGUAAAACUCUGUUGGUAGAGAGGAACGUUGGUGAGAGUGGAAAGCUCAUCAAGUGACGGUAACUACCCAGAAAGGGACGGCUAACUACGUG
This 497-nucleotide ribosomal RNA is filed under the name uncultured bacterium. RNAcentral describes it as "partial 16S ribosomal RNA". It matches the Rfam family "Bacterial small subunit ribosomal RNA", at positions 28 to 507 of the family's 1533-position model. The record is from RNAcentral.